Canis lupus familiaris (dog) is the source of this 1056-nucleotide long non-coding RNA. RefSeq lists it as uncharacterized. Lineage: Eukaryota; Metazoa; Chordata; Mammalia; Carnivora; Canidae. The record is from RefSeq and is a predicted model, not a curated record. The transcript has 5 exons.
UUGUGGAAAAGAAUGCUGUUGGUUUAAUGCACAGAAUUAAGUGUGAAUGGCUGUCAAACUGCUAUAGUUUACUAGUUCUUAAACAUAAAUUGAAGUCUUAUACAUUAAAAAGAAUUCUUAGGGAGAAACGAAUGUCCGGAACAAGGGACCUAAAGAAAUAAUACAAGUGAAUAAAGAGAACUACUUACAAGAAAGCAAUGCAAACCUGAUAAUGGCAACUGGACCUUAUUGUUGAACAGCUGACUCCACAAUUCUUCCAAAACAAGCUCAGAUUUCAUGGGAUGGUUUGAUCUGCAACUGACCUAAAAGCAACCACAUACACCUCUAACAUCUAAUUAAGCCAACGAAAACAACACCGGUCAAAGUGAUGGUACCACCACCAAUAUUCCACGAUGCGGCUCAUGCCAUUUUGGCUUGCUCAGAGAAAAGAAUGAAUUCACAGUCUGAACCCUGAUAUAAAUAUGUAAUCUUGCAACUGUUAAGGCUUCUUCUAUUACUACAAAAUGAAGAGAUAAGAAAUAGAUGUAGUAUCAAAAGAAAUGAAACCAAAAAGAGAGAGAUGAUGAUGACCAAGUAGAGAAAAACACAGAGAAAUCACCAAAACCAGCAAAUGACAAGGAUUUUUUUUUCUUUUUCCGUUAACUACAACCUCUGAGAUGUUCUGUAAAGUGGAUAUACAUUAACCCCCAUUUCCUGCAGUGUCCAUAACUCCAUACUAUGAUUGACUUAGUUUAGAAAAAAAAGAAUGAAUGUAGCCUUGGCAGAAAUGUGAAUAAUCAAGAAAAGACCCAAUCUCCAUGAGGAUUCCAUUCUUAUCAACGCACUGGGACAUAAAGAUUUCUAGAAAGCAGCAGAGAAGAGAGAGCAAUAAACAGUAGAACUUCAGGCAUGUGCUUUCUCUUCCAGGGGCUCAGUUUUCUCAUUUGCAAAAUGUCUCUGCCCCCUCCCUCCAAUAAGUUCUAAAAUUCUUUGGAAUUCAAGAAUUUCACCAAAGGGGUUAAAACAAAAAUAUUUUGCCUAACUCAGAACCAAUGAAAAUGUACCUAUAUGUAAGAA